RNAcentral lists this long non-coding RNA (2072 nucleotides) under Pan troglodytes (chimpanzee). RNAcentral's name for it is "long non-coding RNA NONPTRT002030". The record is from RNAcentral. Lineage: Eukaryota; Metazoa; Chordata; Mammalia; Primates; Hominidae.
CUUCACCUCCAUGACCUAAUCAUCUUCCAAAGGCUCUACCACAUAAUAUCAUCCCAUUGAGGGGUGUUAGGAUUUCAUCAUGUGAAUUUUGAGGGGGAACACAACAUUCAGUUCAUAACAGAGGAAUUAUCAGGGACCUGAGCUCUCAAGGACAUGCAGUGGGACAGAUGGUAGGAAGGGUAAAAGGAUGGAGAACUGGAGAGCUAAGGAAUGCUGGAGAAGCCCACUUGCUCCAGCAUUUUGUUUAGAAUUUCUCUAAUACUUCUAUCAUGUAAGUGUUACUUACUUUAUAGGCUUGUCAAACAGACCACGAGGCAUUCCUCGUUGACCUGGAUAGAGUGAAGAAUACAGAAUUUCUAUACAAAGGAUGCCUUAAAGGAAUUGAUGACAGCAUGGGCACCUGAAAAUUAUUAUAUGAUAAUUUGGAAAUUAUUCUACUAUAAUUUGGAGAUUAUUCCAUUGCAGUGCAAUACAGUGGAGUAAUUUCCAAAUGCUCACAUCAAAAUAUGAGGUAUAUGAUAGAGAUAGGAGAAGCCCUCCUUAGUCUCCUCUUGGCACUGGCACCAAAUCCAGAAUUCCUUUUCUGUAGCCACCUACUUGAGUCUCAGAGAGGGGGAGUUUCUUUGAAUCAAUGCAGCCACAUGGGCUGGGAUGAAGGAAGUGGAUUUUCUGGAAAUGUAUUGUGUGCUGUGGCUUGGUGGGGAAGGACACAAUGAGAACAAAUGAUUCAUCAACAGAUUUCAGACACUUUGAUCCUUCUCAGAAAACCCGAAAAGAAAAUGUAACAAACAAAAGGGAAAAUGAGAGGCAGAGAGUGCACAAGGAAAUCAGGCCUUCUGUUCCAGAAAGCUAAAGGUCUUUAAUAAGAAAUGGGGAAAAUGGAUGAAAAUGGGGAUGAAUCAUCUUAAAUGGCAUCCCAAGGAAAUUGAUUUGAAGUUUCACAGAGGAAAUGGGCCCCAUGAAAUGACUACAAUAAAGACUUUGGCAUAAUAAAUGUUUUUUCUUCGUGUGGGUGUGCACAUGUAUUUUGAGCUCUUAUAGCAGCAUGAUUUAUAAUCCUUUGGGUAUAUACCCAGUAAUGGGAUGGCUUCUUCCGAUCACUCUUUAGGAAGACAGGGAUUAGUUUCUACAUAUCACAGAGCAAUCACUCUGGGGUACUUAUCAAAGUGCUCUAUCAAAUUAGCUUUCCAUCAAAGUUCAAAACAAACUCUUCAUUGCAAUAUGACAUACAUACAGAAAAAUGCAUACAUUGCCCACAAACAGCUCCAUGAAUUUUCACAAAAUAAAAACACCAAGAUAACUUCUGCUCAGAUAAGAAAACAGAGAACUAACAACAUCUAGAGUUCCCCUUGAUCCUCUCCCAAGUCAUGGCCACUUCCUGCUUCCUAUUUUUAAAAAUCUCCAGCAAAACAUUACCAGCACUUCGGAAAGUCCUUGUACUCCUUCUUUGUUUCUAACCCCUACCAGGGUAACCAGCAUCCCUACUCCUCACUGCACAGCUUAGCUGGGCCUAUUUUUGUACACUAUAUAAAUAGGAUCCCAUUUUUAAAAGUCUCCUGACUUUUAUCACCAUCAGGUAGUUUUACCUAAUUUUACACUUCAUAUACAUGGAAUCGUAAAGAAUAUGUGCUUCUUUGUCUGAUUUUUUUCAUCCAGCUUUAUAUUUGUGAAACUCUUCCAAGUGGUUGCAUGGAUCUGAGUUGGUGCAUUUUUGAAAAUCUUAUUAGUCCCUUUUACGAGUAUCCUACAAUUUAUUCACUCAUUCUCCUGUGAUGAACAUUAGAUGUUUCCAGAUUUGGCCUAUCGUGAAUAGUAUUUCUAUCAACAUGUUUAUGUAUGCCUCUUGAGGCACGAAUGCACAUUUCUAUCCCCAGUAGUGGAGUUGCUGGAUCAUAAGGCACAUCAUAAGGUAUAUUCAGCUUUAUUAGAAAUGCCAAACGGAUUUGCAAACUGAUUGCACCAGUUUACACCCCCAUCAGCACUGUGUGAGAGGUUUAACUGCUUCAUGUUUGCACCAGAAUGUUUUACUGUUUGCCAUUUCAAGUGUAGCUAUUCCAACUGUGUGUCUCAUU